GUGCUAGCAGCCGCGGUAAUACGUAGGUGGCAAGCGUUGUCCGGAUUUACUGGGCGUAAAGGAUGUGUAGGCGGAUAUUUAAGUGAGAUGUGAAAUCCCCGGGCUUAACUUGGGGGCUGCAUUUCAAACUGGAUGUCUGGAGUGCAGGAGAGGAAAGCAGAAUUCCUAGUGUAGCGGUACAGUGCGUAGAGAUUAGGAAAAAUACCAGUGGCGAAGGCGGCUUUCUGGACUGUAACUGACGCUGAGGCAUGAAA
RNAcentral lists this ribosomal RNA (254 nucleotides) under uncultured bacterium. Its description in RNAcentral is "partial 16S rRNA". It matches the Rfam family "Bacterial small subunit ribosomal RNA", at positions 505 to 758 of the family's 1533-position model. The record is from RNAcentral.